GAUCCUGGCUCAGAACGAACGCUGGCGGCAGGCUUAACACAUGCAAGUCGAGCGCCCCUCCUUCAAGCCAGCUUGAAGGAAACUUCAAAGCUUCAAGCAAGCAGAGCUUGCUUGAUGGAGGGGAGCGGCAGACGGGUGAGUAACGCGUGGGAAUCUACCCAUCCCYACGGAACAACUCCGGGAAACUGGAGCUAAUACCGUAUACGCCCUUCGGGGGAAAGAUUUAUCGGGGAUGGAUGAGCCCGCGUUGGAUUAGGUAGUUGGUGGGGUAAUGCCUACCAAGGCGACGAUCCAUAGCUGGUCUGAGAGAUGAUCAGCCACACUGGGACUGAGACACGGCCCAGACUCCUACGGGAGGCAGCAGUGGGGAAUAUUGGACAAUGGGCGCAAGCCUGAUCCAGCCAUGCCGCGUGAGUGAUGAAGGCCCUAGGGUUGUAAAGCUCUUUUACCCGGGAAGAUAAUGACUGUACCGGGAGAAUAAGCCCCGGCUAACUCCGUGCCAGCAGCCGCGGUAUACGGAGGGGGCUAGCGUUGUUCGGAAUUACUGGGCGUAAAGCGCACGUAGGCGGCUUUGUAAAUUAGAGGUGAAAGCCUGGAGCUCAACUCCAGAAUUGCCUUUAAGACUSCAUCGCUUGAACGUCGGAGAGGUGAGUGGAAUYCCGAGUGUAGAGGUGAAAUUCGUAGAUAUYCGGAAGAACACCAGUGGCGAAGGCGGCUCACUGCGCACGACUGUUGACGCUGAGGUGCGCAAAGCGUGGDGAGCAAACAGGAUUAGAUACCCUGGUAGUC
This 789-nucleotide ribosomal RNA is filed under the name uncultured bacterium. Its description in RNAcentral is "bacterial SSU rRNA". It matches the Rfam family "Bacterial small subunit ribosomal RNA", at positions 15 to 795 of the family's 1533-position model. The record is from RNAcentral.